GGUGAAGCAGAAGGGGCACAGAGCCCGCAGUCACCGGAGCGAUGGAGUGAGUGUCACCAGGGGCAGCGCGAGAAUGUGCUGCCUGUGGGGAUACAAGAGGGAGGAGAAAAGCAGACACAUGAACCUUGAGUGCACCUAUGAGAUGGGCCAGGGUGUAUCACCAUUCUUCCACUCUUUUCAUCCAGCUGGUGGGACCAAGAGUGGCUGCUGCUUCAUAAUCAGCGACCUGGAGAUGGCUCUGAGAACGUUUUAGGGAAGCAUGACUGUGACUGACAAAAAAGACCCAGAAAAGAAUAUUAAGGCUCACUCUCAGGCUUUGUCUGCACUGGGGAAUUUCUUCCCUCCUCCAAAUUCCCACCAUUGCCAAUAUGAAUGCAGCUGCACAAUUGUUAGAGAUGUUGUGAGGCAUAAUAUAUGAGUUUUCAUCUAGUCAGCCAUUUGCAGUACUGUGUCAAUUAACCCUCCUCAGAGCAGGGUUAACUGAUACAGUGCUGAAAACGGCUGCUGGAGCUGAAAGCUGUCUAUACUAAGGUUCCCAUUGUUGCUAACUGGUGCAGCUGCAGUGGAAUCAGUCCACGUGGGAUUAUUUGGUAACAAUUCUCCAAUAGAAACUGCUUCAAAAUGCAACACAGCCACCUAAUGGGCCAAAACAUGCUUCCACUGCACCUCAACAGCUAUGCACCCAUGCUGUUGCCACUCAUAAUGGGAUUUCUUUCGGUCCAGAAGUAUAGGGCUGCAUAGAUUUGAAAAGUAGAAUCAAGAGGGAAACUAAUGAAACAAGGAAUAAGGAGUUGAAAUUCAUCUGAGUUUUGAUCCUAAAGUGACCACCAGACUGUUUUUGUAAGAUUCUGCCACUGCUGCAGUCAUCAGAGAAGUCAACUGAAACCAUCUUAGUUUUGAAGAGAGAGGCAUCCACAAGAAGAACUGAGUCUCCUUCCUUCAUUUAUAUUGCAAAGGGUUUUAGCACAACAGUGGAAUAAAUUCCUUAGAUAAAAAAAUACUGCCUCUCCUGACAGUUUAGAAGAUGUUAAUAUCUUGGGGCCAAAUUUUAAAGUUUUAACUUGAUUCUUUUUCUUCCACUCCUUGGGUAGAAGUUCAUAUGUUUUAACAGUUUUGCCUAAGGCAAAACCUCAGGAUUCAACUCUUAGAGAACAGCAAGUAUCUUAAAAAUAAUCCUAAAUUCAAGUAAGAUCCUUCAGGCCGAAACCAUUCCAGGAUCUACAGGAGAGAUCAUCAUAAGUCUUUAAGCAAAAAACUGAAACAUCAUUAUUUAAGCCUGGGAACACUGUUUUAAAGCAACACUCUUUGAUGUUCUAGAAAAAUGUAAACAAAAGAUGUAAUUUGUGAGGUUGAUAAUUGAUCAAGUUUUCAGAGUGCAAAAUAGCCCUACAGGAAUCUGGUAGAAGUAUCUGAAAUUACUGUAGGGAAGAAACUUGAUCUUAUUUUAAACGUAAUUAAAGCCUUCUGCAUCUCCACAAAACCUCCAAAACCCUGGGGAUCUCUGAUGGUUUACCCUCUGGGGAGAACACACAGAUAUGAAUUUUAAUAGUGUCUUUUGGUAAUGUGGUGGAUAAAGACAAAUUGAUUACAGCAGUCUGGAAAAAAGCAGGUGAUGUGUUACCAGGGCCAUUGGGUUCAUGUUUUCCCAGACAUGGUGAGGGCCACCCAGAUUGUAAAAGAAAGCUGAUAUCUUUAAAAACUUGAUUUGGGGCUUGAUAUGGCAUUCUUAUUUCCGGAUACACUGGAUUAUAUCAAAAGAAAAAUAAGACGUAUGAUACAGAUUCUGUUCUUGUGUACACUAAACCAAAUCUAGGCUAAAACUUCUGACACCAAUGGAUUUGCCUCAGAUUUAUGCCCAAUAGAAGAGCAGUACUGUCCUUCUUAUUGUAAUGUCUAUCAUUAUUAUCUGACAAGCACUGUGAAACCGAAAAAGAGUAAAAGUCUGAGAAAUCUGAACUUUGCAAUAAGUGUUUCUACAAAUUUGCAUGGAAUACCAAAUAGAAUAUUCUUGUAGAAGUCCCUUAUGAAGAUAUUUGUGUGUGGUUGCAGAGGACGUGGUUAUUUUAAUUUUGUUCCCAAGAGAAACUAGGUGUGCAUUCUGAUGGGACAUAAAGUGAGUUUGUAGUGACAGCUGUAGGCUCCUUGCACUCUAUUUCUUUCUACACCAUUUGGAGUUAUACUAUUACAAUUAGAGACAGACAUAUUAACUGAAAAGACAAUUCAAUAACAUGCCUGAAUAUCACAGCAGAUGGAAAGAUGAAUGCCAGUCCUAUUGUUCAAUUAUCUAUCCUUGAACUUUGUCUAAUUUUGCUGAUUGUUAUUUGGUACAUGUGAAUAUACACAUAUCAGUUCAAGUUUGCACAUAUGGAUCAGCUUGACAUUUGAUCUGCUUUCAGAUCUAGGCACUUUUCAGUACCAUAGGUAUCUCUGCAGCCUGCCACAGAGCCAUGAACUUGGUGUGCUGGGGAGCCUCACUCCUUCCAGUAUUCCAUAUUAGCCUUGCUUUGGAAAGGACAUGGACUCAAUACAAAUACAAACUAAUUGUUCCUACAGACGUGUGGCCCUGGAAAGCUCUGCUGAGCUGCAUCUAACUGGAAAAAAUAAAACACCUCUUUCUGUGCCAUGGGAAAGCCAAAAACUUUGCUUUUUCAGAUGCACAGGGUUGUCCUUUAACUGGGCUAGAAAUGAGGUAAAUAAUUUAAAACAACCACAAAGAGAGAAAUCCUGAGUGGUCAUCCUGUCUGUUGAGACUGUUUAUAUUUCUAAGUCAAUGUUAAGUAGUCCUCACCCAGAUCACAGCACCUACACUGAAAACAGCAAGUGGAACUUCCUUAACCACUAGAAUGAAGUCUUGGCCUUAGAUUCUUAUUUACAUUUUGCAAUGGCACAACCCUUACAGAAAGAAUACAGAAAGCCAGUCUUCUCCCUCAUUCCAGUAAUCUUCAAUCUGGAAGUUAGACUGCCCUGCCAGCAGAGCUGGGGAUUGACCCAGGUCUUUUGUGUUGAAAGUGCAUGCUCAAAGCAUUAUAUCAAAGGCAAGAUGGCAAGGCUACCAGAACUGGAGCCUUGUUUCAGGAGAUAAAUGAGCUGUGCUGGGUCCUGAAGAAAGGACUCUUGAUAUCCUUCUUCAAGAAGUGCCAGGCUGCAGAUGCAGAGUGAAUGGAAACAGUUCCUAGAGGAACAGGCUUUAUGAGAUCCACGGGGAAGCAGGUGUACAGUAUUACCCAUGUCCUUAAAAUGUCUCAACUGGCCAAUUCCAAGCUUCUAGAGCAGGUUAACUUGUCAGCUGUUCUGAAAGCCAGCUCUUCCCCUACUGCAGAGGGAGCAUGAGCAUCUAGCACAGAGUGAGCGCCAAGGAGCAGAUGUCAGAAGGCUGGUGUUGCAACAAUUAACUUUUAGGCACUUGAAUCCUCACUGAAUCUGACCUUCUGCAUCUGUGAACCACUUUGGAAACCAAACCACUAGCCUAAAUUCUUCAGGUCUUGCAGAAUGGUGCCUGCAUACCUGAAAGGAUCGAGGUUAUUCACCUUGCAUUUACAAAGGGUGUGCUGGCUUAGCUGCCCAUGUCUACAAGUUGUAGGUAUCCCAGGUGUCUGGCUGCAUUCCUCUGUCCACCCAAGGAACAUGAGAUACAAAUAGGCAAAUAUUUAAUUUUAUUUGAUUUGGGGUUUUCUGUGCAAGGUCUGAAAUUACACAGCUCUGUAAUGGAGACUUUUCUUCUGAAUUACAAGCCAGUGAUAUACCUUUAUAUCAAUACUAUUCAUUUAUCCAAAUAGGUGCUAAAAAGGCUUAGCUGGUAUGAUACAAGUUAGUAUCAAUCUUUUGAUCCAAAGCUCAUUUUAUUGUAUAUUUAAAAAUAAUAUUAUAUUAUGCAACUCUCAACCUGCAUCAAUCUUUCUCCUCAAUAAAAUACAAUAUAGUAAUUCACCUCUAGAACAGCAGAAUGUUUUCAUCUUGUAAUAAGCAUCAGUGCACGGUAAACAAGGAGAUGAUGAUGUUUUCCUACACAACAGAGUGAGUCUUUCACAUGAGAAGUUGGGAGAGGACACUGUUAGGCACACAGAAAUUCUGUAAGAACAGAUGUUGAUGUCUUUUCUGAUAGAUUUAUAAGACUGGGACUUACUGGCUUCAGAGAGUGACUCAAAAACCAAUCAAGACCAAUUGAAGUGAUACUAUGUAAUAUCUGUUUGUCAUAUACUUAUAUAUCAUGGUAUGAUUUUACAGCUUAUUUGCAAUCUAGCAGAGUUUAUACAAUUAAAACAAUGAUCAGUUAAUAUAGUAUGAUGACAAAAACCUACACAAUAAAAGUGUCUCCAUGACUUCUAGAUGCAAGGAUAUGGAUUUCCCACAGAGUUGUGGCAGAGUCUGUAAAUUACACUGUUUGGUUUUUUUUCCUUCUUUCUUAUUUUGCUGUUGAGAUGAAACAUUGACUAGUUUCUUCUAUCCCAUUCCAGCCCUGGAUAGCUGUACUCAUUACAGAGCUAACCAUAAUAUGCUAGCAUCUAGGCUGCCAUUUUUCAGUGAUGUUAGUGAUGUUGCUGGAAACACUGACAAGAACUACCACACCAUGGCUUAGAAUUAUCAGAAAGUAAUUGAGCAACAUACAUAUUGAUGUGGAGUACAAUCCCAUCUCCCAGAAGGCCACUGACUGAUGAAGGAUCACAAACCCAAACAGAAGGAAGCUUCAAGUCAAUUUACUGGCAUAUAAUGCUCCCUGUGCUUAAUUGUUUAGAUCAAAUACUGGUAACUUCCAAUAGAAUAAGUUCAGCUUCACAAGUUGAGGGUUUGUAUUUCUACAGCUCUCGGUCUUUGUUCAGUAUUUUAAACUGAAUAUAUAUAGUUGUAACCAUCUAGUUGCUUUCUUUGUGCUUGCUAAGUUCAUAGUCUGAAACUUGCAGCAAUCAGUUCCUUUACCUAGCUGUUUACCAAUUAAGUCAUAUUGCAAAAUCCAUUCACAUUUGAAUAACCUUCAGUUACACUGAGAGAGUAGGCAUCAUAUUUGUCUUCCCAGCACUGUUCACUACAGCCUGCAAAAAGACACAAUAAACAGUUCCUGUCUUGUAAUUUGCCUUAGCUGGAUCUCCCAUCUGACAGACCUUCCAAGGAAUUACCCAACUGUGCCCUGCUUUCUUGCCUUUAUCGCUCAGAGUUCAGAUUUGAUCAACCUAUCAGUCGCUUUGACAAGCUACAAUAAAGGAAAAAAAAGCCACACAGCUAUAAUUACACAUUGCUCUUUCUAAAAAUGUGACCAACUUUCAAAUGCUAUCCAACAUGUGAGAAACUCACUGGCUUAACAGUACUGCUGCCAGAAAACUAGCAGGAGCAAAAUUAGCCAGCUGAGAAUAUUAAUGAACUUCAAGAGAGAGAACUGGAGACCUGUCUUCGAAGUCAGCAGCAGAAAUAAUACAGUUCUGUAGUAUGGUUCUCCCGUGAUGAACUUGCUGUUCCAAAAGGCAGUAUACUUUCAGAGCCUGGCAAAGCUGGCAGAAGGAAACAUCCAGUCAAAGCCUGUAACUUAGGACCAAGUUUUCCAACUGCUUGGGCAGCUUCUGACUUGUACAGGUAACAGUGAAGAGCAGUGGAUUCAUAUUUCACAGAGCUCAGAAUCAAAAUCAGAAUCAGUGUGGAGAGAUAGGGAAAGGACGAAAACUGAGGCAGAGCAAACAGCAAACAGGUAAUUACCAACCCUUGCUGGUACCAAACAAAACCUUUCCCAUUAGCUUUUGUUUACUCCCCCUAUGUAGUAGGUGCUCUGUCUCUCAUUUUUCACAAUCCUAUAGAUGAGUUAACUGAGGAUCUAUCUCUAUAAAACAGGGAAUCCAUUUUAGUAGGUUGACUGAGUUAGUUGGCUAGUCCUCCCAUUGGAGCAAUUUGCUAACAGCAGGAGUGUAUCCAGCAAAAUGUAGCUCUUCACACAGACCUCCCAAGUUGUCCCAUCUCUCCAUCAGAGAAACUUUUGUGAGGCCUGGGGAAGGGAGAGUCCUUCUGUAAAAAUAUAAAUAAAAAUGCCAUGUCUAGGUGGAACCCUGGAAAAAUUCCAUGGAAGACUACCUCAUUAUGAACUCUUUUCCUACACACUGUACACUAAUCUGAAAUAUUAAAGAGCAAGGCAGAAUAUUAAUGGAGAAAGCAGAGAGGCUUCAAGUAAGUGGGAUCUGGACUCAUUUGCUUUUGCUUUUUCAGAUUAUCUAGGAGAUCUUUGGUGAGAGAUACAGCUGCUGUGCCUCAUUUUCUCCACAGAAAAUAAAAAUUAAUUAAUGCCAGUGAUGUGCCUCCCAGAACCAUCCGGACAGAUAAUUUACUAGGAUUUACAAAAAUCUGGUAAGGAGGAGCGAUGUAUUUUUAAAAUAAAUAAAGUAAGUGUGGCCCACACUCCAAAUGGCUAGUGCAAUACACAGAACAAGGAUUAGCCUGUAAGCAUAAUCCUUAACAUUAUUCUGUACGAUGUGCAGUAUCCUGCUUGGAGAUGCUAUCUUCUUGUCGGCACUUUUCUUCAAAAUAGUUACACUAUGAAAUUUACCUCAAAGCAGCUGACUGAGCAGGAAUUGAAUGUGUUUGGUUGGCAAUUGUUUUGAAGGUUUCUCAGCCUUGAUAGUUCCCCCAGAGAACUGCAUUUGCUUUAGGCAAUCCUUAAAGCUAGCAAGAGGAGAGGUACACAAAGGCAGUUUUGAUGCUGUUAAAAUGGUUAUAUUGGGUUGUGCAUUUGACUUGGCUUUCAGGAGAGAAUAAAAUGGUUUAUAUGGGCGUGGGUGAGAGAACGACUUAAAAGUGCAAGUUAUGCACCUGGACUAUUAAGCUAUUUGUCCCUGUGUUCUUUAAUACCUGGCUUCUGUGUCCAAAAACACACACAGGAGUAUUUUCAGGCUUGGGAUAUAUUAUAGUCUCUCAUCAGUUAAACAAGUGGGACUGAAAAAUACCAGGUUCUUACUAUUUCUUUUCUCUAAUGCCUGUUUCAAUAGAGAUAUGAGUUCUGGGAGCACUGUAUGACUUCAUGCUUUUUUUUUUCCAGAAGUAAUGAUAAAGAAGUAACAUGAAAGACUAGCCCAAACAAAAUCUUUGAACUGGGAGAUGAACCAGAUAAAAGACAUACAUUUCCCAAUUCAUUGCUAUUUGUGCUUGUGAAUUUUUGGCAAAGCAAGUGCUCCCUUGAGUUCCCAGAUGCCCUAUUUAAUUGGAAAUCUUAAAGGCAUAACCCAAAGUUAUCUUAAAGGCAUAACCAAAGUAUGGGCAAUGUUUCAUGAACAAAGGAAAUAGGAAAAUAGCAUAUAUUAAUCACCAUUUCUGAGUGCAAGAACGUUUUAAAUUCAUUUUGGUUUAUAUUUAAGAAAAAAUUUGCAUGCAAACUUGCCAGGAUGUAUGUUGGUCAAAAUGUAUUGUGCUCCCCUAGAAGGAGCCAGGGAGGGAGAAUAUAAACUGCAACAUUCCCUGGGCUUCUGCAAUAUUGCAUCUGCUCUCAAUUAAAGUGAGAUGUGGUUUCUAGGGACUGUAUCUAUGGUAUUUAUCUUAGAACCAUAUUUUUUAUUAUUUUGAAAUGAUUUUAUGAAUUGCAAUUGUAGCUUAAAUAAAGGCGUGUUACAGUAGUGACCAUAUUG
Long non-coding RNA from Passer domesticus (house sparrow), 7592 nucleotides. RefSeq lists it as uncharacterized. Lineage: Eukaryota; Metazoa; Chordata; Aves; Passeriformes; Passeridae. The transcript is spliced from 5 exons. The record is from RefSeq and is a predicted model, not a curated record.